AAAACACUAAGGGGAGCGCGCGAAGCUCAACUUGGCGCUCGACGGGGGCCGUUAGCCGCCCCAGAGCGCGCGGAGCCGCAGAGGCGUAGCUGGACUACAACGCAGUGCAUCUCGGGAGGCCAACUCGACUGGACCGGGUGAGAGGACAGAGGUGGCUCGAUGGGCGGCCCGAAGGCCGGGGAUCAUGGCGGGCAGGCGGGCCCAGCCAGGUUCAGCCCCGCCCCGACCCGCCGCUCCCCACCCCCGGCCGGCCUCGCGUGCCUUCCCGCAGCACUGCUGUCCCCGGGAUGCUGAGCGCCCACCGUCUCCCCGCAGCCCCCUCAUGCCCGGCUGCGAGCUGCCCGUGGGCACCUGCCCGGACAUGUGCCCGGCCGCCGAGCGCGCCCAGCGCGAAAGGGAGCACCGCCUGCACCGCUUGGAGGCGGUGCCGGGUUGCCGCCAGUACCCGCCCCGCGCCGAUCCGCAGCGCGCGGUGAAGGAGUACAGCCGACCCGCCGCCGGCAAGCCCCGGCCCCCGCCCAGCCAGUUGCGUCCGCCCUCCGUGCUGCUGGCCACCGUGCGCUACCUGGCCGGUGAGGUGGCGGAGAGCGCCGACAUCGCCCGCGCCGAGGUGGCCAGCUUCGUGGCAGACCGCUUGCGAGCUGUGCGCCUGGACCUGGCGCUGCAGGGAGCGGGCGACGCCGAGGCAGCGGUGGUGCUGGAGGCGGCGCUGGCCACGCUGCUGGCCGUAGUGGCGCGGCUCGGGCCCGACGCGGCGCGGGGACCCGCGGACCCGGUGCUGCUGCAGGCCCAGGUGCAGGAGGGCUUCGGCUCGCUGCGGCGCUGCUACGCGCGGGGCGCCGGGCCGCACCCCCGCCAACCCGCCUUCCAGGGUCUCUUUCUGCUCUAUAACCUGGGUGAGUCGGGAUCCUGGCGGCUGGGCAGAGCGUGGGGACAGGAGCCCACCAUGACAGUGGAGGCUCGGUGGAAGCCCUGCAUGAGGUUCUACAGCUGCCUGCUGCCCUGCGCGCCUGCCCGCCCCUCCGCAAGGCCUUGGCGGUAGAUGCUGCCUUCCGAGAGGGCAAUGCUGCCCGCCUGUUCCGUCUGCUCCAGACCCUGCCCUACCUGCCAAGUUGCGCUGUGCAGUGCCAUGUGGGCCAUGCCCGCCGGGAAGCCCUGGCCCGCUUCGCUCGUGCCUUUAGCACCCCCAAGGGCCAGACCUUGCCUCUGGGCUUCAUGGUCAACCUCCUGGCCCUGGAUGGACUCAGGGAAGCACGGGACCUGUGCCAGGCCCACGGGCUGCCCUUGGACGGAGAGGAGAGAGUUGUGUUCCUGAGGGGUCGCUACGUGGAGGAAGGGCUACCGCCUGCCAGUACGUGCAAGGUGUUAGUGGAGAGCAAACUUCGAGGACGUACCCUGGAGGAGGUGGUCAUGGCAGAGGAGGAAGAUGAGGGCGCGGACAGACCUGGGUCCCCAGCCUGAGGAGGGAGCGUGAGCCUCCCAGAGCCCCAGGACUGGGCCAGAGCACUUAGGUUUCUUUUUCCAUGGUUUCCAGAUAAUAAAAGGAACUUGUUUUGUUGGUA
This 1562-nucleotide small RNA is filed under the name Pan troglodytes (chimpanzee). Its description in RNAcentral is "processed transcript". Lineage: Eukaryota; Metazoa; Chordata; Mammalia; Primates; Hominidae. The record is from RNAcentral.